GCCUGGGUGGCUUAUUUGGUUAAGUGUCUGACUUCGGCCCAGAUCAUGAUCUCACAGUCCGUGGGUUUGAACCCCACAUCAGGCU
RNAcentral lists this transfer RNA (85 nucleotides) under Felis catus (domestic cat). It matches the Rfam family "tRNA". From Rfam's summary of the family: Transfer RNA (tRNA) molecules are approximately 80 nucleotides in length. Lineage: Eukaryota; Metazoa; Chordata; Mammalia; Carnivora; Felidae. The record is from Rfam by way of RNAcentral.